RNAcentral lists this ribosomal RNA (253 nucleotides) under uncultured bacterium. Its description in RNAcentral is "partial 16S ribosomal RNA". It matches the Rfam family "Bacterial small subunit ribosomal RNA", at positions 524 to 776 of the family's 1533-position model. The record is from RNAcentral.
UACAGGGGGGGCAAGCGUUGUUCGGAAUUACUGGGCGUAAAGGGCUCGUAGGUGGCCAACUAAGUCAGACGUGAAAUCCCUCAGCUUAACUGGGGAACUGCGUCUGAUACUGGAUGGCUUGAGUUUGGGAGAGGGAUGCGGAAUUCCAGGUGUAGCGGUGAAAUGCGUAGAUAUCUGGAGGAACACCGGUGGCGAAGGCGGCAUCCUGGACCAAUAUUGACGCUGAGGAGCGAAAGCCAGGGGAGCAAACGGG